Non-coding RNA from Coturnix japonica (Japanese quail), 327 nucleotides. The record is from RefSeq and is a predicted model, not a curated record. NCBI's taxonomy places the organism in Eukaryota, Metazoa, Chordata, Aves, Galliformes, Phasianidae.
GAGACGCCUACUGCUAAUAAAGCAUCCUCAGCCCCGCUUUGAUUUGUACCUGUGCAGUAACAAGUGCCGGCCCAGCCCUGAAGUCACAAAGCAGAUACAGAGAUGACAGAAGAGGGCAAACAGUGACUGCUGCAGUCUUAACACAGUCAUGAAGCCCACGUGGGAAUCUUUCUUCUUACCUGACGGCCAGUGCAAGGUUGACAGCAGUCAGAUUUGCUGUCCCUUAAGUUACAUAAUUUCUCCUUGAAGGACGCAGAGCCAGGUGUUGUAGAGAUGCUGUUUGCUGUAGCCUUUCUAUAAGUAAAGCCACCCAUCCUUUUCUGAUUA